This 845-nucleotide ribosomal RNA is filed under the name uncultured bacterium. RNAcentral's name for it is "bacterial SSU rRNA". It matches the Rfam family "Bacterial small subunit ribosomal RNA", at positions 8 to 846 of the family's 1533-position model. The record is from RNAcentral.
AGAGUUUGAUCAUGGCUCAGGAUGAACGCUAGCGGCAGGCCUAACACAUGCAAGUCGAACGGUAACAGGAAUUAGCUUGCUAAUUUGCUGACGAGUGGCGCACGGGUGCGUAACGCGUAUACAAUCUACCUUUUACUGGGGGAUAGCCUUUAGAAAUGAAGAUUAAUACCCCAUAGUAUCCAGACAUCGCAUGAUCGUCUGGAUUAAAGUUACGGCGGUAAAAGAUGAGUAUGCGUUCUAUUAGCUAGUAGGUGUGGUAACGGCACACCUAGGCGACGAUAGAUAGGGGCCCUGAGAGGGGGAUCCCCCACACUGGUACUGAGACACGGACCAGACUCCUACGGGAGGCAGCAGUGAGGAAUAUUGGACAAUGGGCGGAAGCCUGAUCCAGCCAUGCCGCGUGCAGGAAGACUGCCCUAUGGGUUGUAAACUGCUUUUAUACAGGAAGAAACCCCGAUACGAGUAUUGGGCUGACGGUACUGUAAGAAUAAGCAUCGGCUAACUCCGUGCCAGCAGCCGCGGUAAUACGGAGGAUGCAAGCGUUAUCCGGAAUCAUUGGGUUUAAAGGGUCCGUAGGUGGAUAAUUAAGUCAGAGGUGAAAUCCUGCAGCUCAACUGUAGAAUUGCCUUUGAUACUGGUUAUCUUGAAUUAUUGUGAAGUAGUUAGAAUAUGUAGUGUAGCGGUGAAAUGCAUAGAUAUUACAUAGAAUACCGAUUGCGAAGGCAGAUUACUAACAAUAUAUUGACGCUGAUGGACGAAAGCGUGGGGAGCGAACAGGAUUAGAUACCCUGGUAGUCCACGCCGUUAACGAUGGUCACUAACUGUUCGGACUUCGGUCUGAGUGG